UUAUUUUCUUUUUAUUUAUGGCAUAAUUUCUCAAAAUAACACAUCAAAACUUAUACAUCCUUAAACAUUAAAAAACAAUACAAAUGUAAGCAAUAUUUUUUAACUGCACUAUUUAAUCAAUAGAUACAUUAUGUAUAUUACUUAUAACAUUCCAUUAAAUAUAAAUUCAUUCAUCUAUUUAUUCAGAUUAAACAACUAUUAAGGCUGAAUGUGGCAACUCAUGCCUGUAACCCCAGCACUUUGAGAGGCUGAGGUGGGAGGAUCACCUCAGCCCAGGAAGUAGAGACUGCAGUGAGCCAAGAUCCCACAACUGCACUCUAGCCUCAGUAACAGAGUGAAACUCCAUCUCGAAAAAUCAACAAUUACAAUGCCUCUUACAUGGAAGACUGUAUUCCAGGUACUCCAGGAUACACACAAAUAUGUCUAUGACCUCCAGUAGCUCAUAGUAUGCAGGAACUUCAAGUGAUUAUUUAAACAACUAAACAUAAAAAUUCUGAAAUUUUAAAUUUCCAAGUGUAAUAUAAAGACUUUGAGUGGAUAGUUUAAAUAAACUACAAUGACAAAAUCAUGGUGUUAAAGUCUUACCAUAUUGGUAUUAAGAGUCUGCGUAUAUAACUGGUUAUUUGCAGUAAAAUACAUGUUAUUCAUUAGAUGAAGUGUUUUACCUAUACUCUUUAUGGACAACUUAUAAAACACAGAAGAAUCCAUUUGUAAUACAAAUUUUGAUAACAUAAAUUUAAAUUUCUACAUUUCUACAAUUUAUAUUUUUAAAGCAGAUACAAUCUGGUUAUGUUGCCCAGGCUGUUCUCAAACUCCUAGGCUCAAAAAAUCCUCCUGCCUCAAACCCCCAAGUAGCUGGGACUAAAGGCGUACACCACCAUACUCAGCUAGUUUUCUACAAAUUUUAAUAUUAUUUUAGUCUCACUACAGAAGUAAUAAUAGAAGUAGAAAAAAUAAUGUCUCCUAAAAACUACAUAACAAAAUAAUAAGUGUCCAAGAAAAGGUAUAUGCUAUGUGCUGCACAGUUUUGCCAAUAAAAAGUACCAGGGAGAUUCCAUGAUAACUACAAGUAAUUUGAUUCACUGAAGAUUCAUAAAGGCAUAAAUAUUAUGAAAGUAACACUAGUAUGAUUUAAAAGCCAAUAUUAAUAUUUAUCCAAAUAAACCUUAACCAAAUUUUAUAUUUCCUUUAUUGGGGAAAGCAUAUUCUAAUGUGAUUUUCCUGUCACUAUGUUUCCAGUUCAUUUUCUUUCAGCCCCCACCCUGUCACAGUACUUAAUCAAUCCUUUGUUAAUGAGGUUAAACAAUUUUU
This is a long non-coding RNA of Sapajus apella (tufted capuchin), 1311 nucleotides long. RefSeq lists it as uncharacterized. NCBI's taxonomy places the organism in Eukaryota, Metazoa, Chordata, Mammalia, Primates, Cebidae. The transcript has 2 exons. The record is from RefSeq and is a predicted model, not a curated record.